This 396-nucleotide ribosomal RNA is filed under the name uncultured bacterium. RNAcentral describes it as "partial 16S ribosomal RNA". It matches the Rfam family "Bacterial small subunit ribosomal RNA", at positions 523 to 918 of the family's 1533-position model. The record is from RNAcentral.
AUACGGAGGAUGCAAGCGUUAUCCGGAUUUAUUGGGUUUAAAGGGUGCGUAGGCGGAUGAUUAAGCGUGAGGUGAAAUGCCACUGCUCAACAGUGGAACUGCCUCGCGAACUGGUUGUCUUGAAUGCUCCUGCCGUGGGAGGAAUGUGUGGUGUAGCGGUGAAAUGCAUAGAGAUCAUACAGAACACCGAUUGCGAAGGCAGCUGCCGACGGGGUGAUUGACGCUGAGGCACGAAAGCGUGGGGAUCAAACAGGAUUAGAUACCCUGGUAGUCCCCGCUGUAAACGAUGAUGACUAGGUGUGGGGGGACUGAACCCUUCCGUGCCGCAGAUAACACGAUAAGUCAUCCACCUGGGGAGUACGGGCGCAAGGUUGAAACUCAAAGGAAUUGACGGGG